This 31-nucleotide non-coding RNA is filed under the name Mus musculus (house mouse). Lineage: Eukaryota; Metazoa; Chordata; Mammalia; Rodentia; Muridae. The record is from RNAcentral.
UGGGCUCUCGUGGAAACACGCAAUUUUGAAU